CAAUACCAAUUUGGGACCCUGACGAGCGACGCCGCGUGAACCAUGAAGUUUUUCGGAAUGUAGAGUCAUGACAAAGGGGAUGAAAAGCCAAUUGGUUAAUAGCCUUUUGGUCUGACAGUACCGUAAGAGGAAGCUCCGGCUAACUCCGUGCCAGCAGCCGGGGUAAUACGGUUUGAGGGAGCGUUAUUCGGAUUCAUUGGGCGUAAAGAGUUCGUAGGCGGUCAGAUUAGUCAGAGGUGAAAUCUAACGGCUCAACCGUUAAAUUGCCUUUGAAACUGUCUGACUUGAGUACGUGAGAGGAAAGCGGAAUUCUUGGUGUAGCGGUGAAACGCGUGGAUAUCAAGAGGAACACCCGUGGCGAAAGCGGCUUUCUGGCACGAUACUGACGCUGAGGAACGAAAGCCAGGGGAGCAAACGGUAUUAGAUACCCCGGUAGUCCUGGCCGUAAACGAUGGGCACUAGGUGAAGGAGGUAUCGACCCCUUCUGUGCCGCAGCUAACGCAUUAGGUGCCCCGUCAGGGGAGUACGAUCGCAAGAUUGAAACUCAAAGAAAUUGACGCUAGCCCGCAGCAGCGGUGGAGCAUGAGACGUAUUUCGAUGAUACGCUAAGAACCUUACCGGCGUUAGACAUGUAGUCGACCGCCAUGUAAACAUGUCUUCUCCUUCGGGAGCGGCUAGUCAGGUGCUGUUUGAAUGUGGUCAGCUCGUGUCGUGAGAUGUAGAGUGAAGUCCCGCAACGAGCGCAACCAUUAUCCUUAUUGCAAGCAACUCAUGCUGAGAAAUCUGUUUUUCUGCCGGUGAUAAACCUGAGGAAGGUAAGCCUGACGUCAACCCUCAUUGUCCCUUACCUCCCGGGCUACCCUCGUGCAAGAUGCCUGUACAGAGGAGGUGCUAUCCCUUGAUGUGCAGCGAAACACCAGAAAAGAAUGACUCAGCCUCGGGAUGGCAGUCUGCAACUUGAAUGCUUAAAGUAAUGAUCGGUAGCCAGCGCCGAUCAGGAGCCGUGGUGUUUAUUUUACCCGGCCUUGAACCCUUCACCGGUCUGGACAACAGAGUGACCGCCUCGGAAACUGGUGAACCUACUCCCUCGGGGAGAAGGCGCCCGACGUUGCUCUUUUGUGUAGUCGAUAUAAGCGA
Molecule: ribosomal RNA, 1137 nt
Filed under: uncultured bacterium
Lineage: Bacteria
Description: bacterial SSU rRNA
Rfam family: Bacterial small subunit ribosomal RNA
Source: RNAcentral